UUCAAUUGUCCAUCGUUUGUCA
This 22-nucleotide small RNA is filed under the name Bombyx mori (domestic silkworm). RNAcentral's name for it is "ovarian small RNA-9508". Lineage: Eukaryota; Metazoa; Arthropoda; Insecta; Lepidoptera; Bombycidae. The record is from RNAcentral.